Molecule: long non-coding RNA, 264 nt
Organism: Syngnathus acus (greater pipefish)
Lineage: Eukaryota; Metazoa; Chordata; Actinopteri; Syngnathiformes; Syngnathidae
Exons: 3
Source: RefSeq, a predicted model, not a curated record
GAUGUGGCGGGCCGUAUCUGGCCCCCAGGCCGUGAGUUUGACACCUGUGCAUUAAACAAGUCACGUCAGUACAAAUAAUUCACAGCCAGGAAGACAGCGACGUGUGGAUGACACCAUGCAGUUGAGGCCUUGGCUUGUCAAGUCCUAUGCUAAAGGCUAGCUAGUGUUGUCAAAAGCAAAAAAGCUAAGUUAGCAUGUCAUCUUAGCAUGUAGCAGAGAACGAAGGACACUUGGAGAUAAAACCGGUAGAGGUGCCAGAGGGAG